AGUAAACAAUCUGCCAUUCCCCAUUCUGCCUAAUAAAAGGCAGCAGCACUAAAUAAACAAUCUGCCACUCUGCCUAACAAAUAAACAAUCUGCGAUGUUUUAAUCUAUUAUUUUAGUCUAAACAUAAGUGGAACUGUAAUACAAUCUGACAGAUGGAUCAGACAAAUCUGUUAAGACAGUAAAACAAGCUAAUGACUAACGAAGAUGAGAUGUGAAGUACGUAGCAGACGAUAAUAUGGCCUAUAUUGAAUCUCAACAAAGCCAACAAAGAUUUGAUGCUUUUUGACAAAAGAUGAGAAUAUUGGAUGCAAACGGGAUUUGAGACAGUUGCUUAAGCAUAGGAUUUUUGGUUGGACACAGUGAGUAUGUUUGUGUAUGUCUGGGCAGCUUUAGUAGCUAACUUCUUGACCACAAUGCUUGCAUUCUAUUUUGCGAACUUCUCUAUUAUCUUCUAUCACCUCCAAUUGUUCCCAAUUAUGAGAGCGUACUUUAGGAGUGCAAGGCAUGAUUGCACUUGAACCUAAAAAAAAGAUAAAUCAUAAGUUAUAAUAUUAUUCUUUGAUGAUAAUAGAACAAAACUACAAACAAAUAGAGUAUUAAACUUAUCACUCAAGUUGCAAGUUGUAACUAUACAUCAAACAAUGCUAGUAGUGCUUCCAUUAUUUUCCAUAUCUAAAGAUAAUUCGACCAAAUAUGUCAUAUAAAUAAACAAGUAUGAUAUAUUAUUUUGAACUAAAAUACACAUAAAAUAUUAAAGCUUACCAAGCUCGAGUUCCUCAAGAUACUCCCAGUCUUCUUCAACACUAAUAGGAUUCUUCUCUUCUCUAAGCCAAUCUUGAACACAAACAAGAGCUUGCACAUAUUUAGGAGUCAAAAAACUCCUAAAUGAAUCAAGAAUAUGUCCACCGGUGCUAAACGCGCAUUCCGAUGCCACACUAGAAAUUGGAAUGGCUAACACAUUACGAGCCAACUCUGAAAGAAUAGGAAAUCUAGGAGCAUGUGUUUUCCACCAACUUAAGAUAUCAAAUUCUUCACCAAAAGGCUCUUGUUCUUCACUAAUAUAUUUAUCCAACUCCGAUUUAGCACCCCACUUCCAUUGUGUUCCUUUUGUUUCUUCAAGUGAAGUUUUGUCCUUAUUAAUGAUGCAGUUAUAACACUCUCACUAGAUGUAUUAGAUGUGUUAUUAGAUGAAAUAGAAUUAGAUGGAGAUUGAGGACAAGAUCCAGUUGAAUACUUGUUUAGAUACUAUUCAAACAAAGAAUUCAUAUAAGUAUACACAUCAGCAUUUAUUUUCUUCCUUUUUUCCUCCCCAAAAAGUUCUUCAAGUGUUAAAACCAAAACACUAAAUAGAAUACUACAAGCAAAAUACUACAAGGGCGUAUGGUCGUGUAAACUGUAAUGAGCAGAGAACAGCCUAGAAAAUAAAUUAAAUGGUCAUUUUCUACUUCUAGUAUGAUUAAGCUGGAACAAAGCCAAAACUUUAGAAUAACAUACAGAAAUAUAGGUAGUAGAAAAAGCUCUAAUACUCUGUAGCAAAAGCUCUAACCCUCUAAGAAAACUAAUUCAAAUUGAUCCGGUAAUCAAAAUACUACAAUAUGUUCUUCAUUAAUCUGGUAAUGUAAUACACAUAAUAGACAUAGAUCCCGAAAAAAAUAAACCAUGAUAAUAAUCCAAGAAACUUGUGCAAGGAAAUACUUUCUUGAAUAUUCAGAAAGUCCUAAUCUUUGUUUCUUCAAGGUGUGUGCUUCAACACAUAUUUUCUAGUUGGUUGAUGAAUUAGCUUCUUGUUUUAAGGUGGUUUGCUUAUUAACUGUACGUGGCACAGAGCACUUUAUGCCAGAUGUUCACUUUUAUCCGUAUGAUGAAGAACUUUCAUCUUUGAACAUCUGUGGUUUGGCCUUAAUGCCAAACUGGAAAAAUAAGUGACAAUAAAUGCACUACGUACGGCAAACUUUCUAUUAUCAUUUAAUACACACCUCGGACAAGUUAUGAAUCUGAAUGAAGUCGACAUCGCUGAGGUUGUAGUCAUGAGUCAUAACUCGUGAAUCCGACCGUCGCAGCAACCAAGCAAAAUCGUGAGGGUUUUUUGAAAUUCUUGCCUGCGUCUAACUCUAAGAACUAAACC
Molecule: long non-coding RNA, 2125 nt
Filed under: Nicotiana tabacum (common tobacco)
Lineage: Eukaryota; Viridiplantae; Streptophyta; Magnoliopsida; Solanales; Solanaceae
Description: long non-coding RNA (NTAB_LNC011949)
Source: RNAcentral